AGAAGACAGACGCUUAACUGACUGAGCCACUCACAUGUCCUGAGAAUGGGAGUUUUAAAGGGAAAGAAGAAAGGGAAAAUUAGGGAGAAGUUGUGUGAUUAACUUGGACUGCACUCAGCAAAGGCCAAGCCAACUCUCUGUUAUUUAAAACAUGGUAUAACACCACAUACCCAUCAGGACCUAAAUGAUGCUAACCAAUAAGACGGGUGAGGAAGCACCAGGAACCUGGCUUCAAUUCCUAACAUGGCUCUCCAGAUUAAAGUUUGUGCACACUGUAUGUCAGAGGACACAUUUUGCUAGAAGGCAAAGUUUAUAUUCCUGGCACUUUAUAUAUAAACCCAGGAGGAAAAGAACAGGGUAAUGUCUCCAUGGCUGGCAUCUUGAAGGUGUACAUCAAGUCCACAGAAUGGCCACUGGGAAUUUAUAAAGUGAGGAGAGGCCUUCUUUCUUCUGAAAGCUUGGACCUCAGAUGAGCCACCUGUCCGUGACUUUAGCUUUUUUUCUCCUCAGAGGAAAAAUAAAUACAAAUCACUUGGUAUAGUUGACAGCCUUCAAUUAGAAGGAUUUAUAGAAUCAUGCAGUCAAAAGGGAAACUGAGAGCCCAUAGAGUUCAUUGCCCUGUCAAUAAUUGACAUUCCAAGUAGACUAGCUCUCUUUUUAGAGCUUUUCAGAGAAAAAGAUUACAUUCUCACUCUGGAUGAAUAAUACUGAUAUUUAAUAAUCCUUAUUGUAGGAUGCUCCUCUUUUAACCUAAAUAGUAGAGUUGGAAACUAUUGGCUCCUUGUCCAUAUAGAUCUAUAGCCUCUGGCUGAGACUUGACAUUGAUAGGUGCCCAGGAUCAGAUCCAGAAAGGCUACCCCUGCCGUGUUCCCAUGGGCAGAGCCAGCCAAAUGCUAAGAUGACUCUCAAGAUUCCCUAUAAUAGAUGUAUUUAUCCAUGAGAGACAGAGAUGGAGGGAGGCAGAGGGAGAAGCAGGCUCCGCAAGGAGCAGUCAGCCUCGUGCAGGAUUCUACCCCAGGAACCUGGAUCAUGACCUGAGCCAAAGGCAGGCAGACGCUUUACCAACUGAGCCACCAGGUACCCUACGUACAUAUUGUUCAAAACUGGACUUA
This is a long non-coding RNA of Canis lupus familiaris (dog), 1112 nucleotides long. RefSeq lists it as uncharacterized. The record is from RefSeq and is a predicted model, not a curated record. Lineage: Eukaryota; Metazoa; Chordata; Mammalia; Carnivora; Canidae. The transcript has 6 exons.